CUCAUUGUGCUCCAUUGAUCUUUUUACAUUGGUCUCAGACUCUUAAGUAGUAGCCUUUGUCUUACAUAUUUUGAAACAUUAUCAUGAAUAGAGCAACAUAUACUGUAAAUCCUCUCCUGUCUUCCAACAGAUGGUUUUGCAAUUUGCGUUAACGGUUAGGCAAGUUGUAUAAUCCACUUCUAAUGAUUAAGCAGGGUGUGAUUUGUAAAGGGGGUGCGGGUGGAUAUUAUCCCCUCUGCUGGUUUUAAUUCACUUUUUCUACAUACUUAAAUACCUCCAUUGAAAUUGCCUUGGCAAAUCGCCUCUUAACAAGUGGUUUAAGGCUUAGGUUAAGAUUUGUGAACAAAAUGAUAUAAUUGCUAUAAUUGGAGCUUGUUUUGUCUUCAUUGGAACAUUCCGUGCACGGACUGGGAUUAUACUGUACUGUGUAGUGUGUACCAAGGCCAAAGACAAACUAAAGAUCUUGGUAUAUUGGGAUGAAUCUGUGGUUAAAGUAAUAUACAACAUGUCAAGUUGGUUAAUAAGAUGUUAACUUCGUAAUGAGAUAUUACUUUUUGACUUAUUACAAGCUCUCGGCUGUCAGAGCACACCCACCCCACUGCCAUCCCCAUGCCCUACCAAUUACUGUAUACAUUGCAUGUCAGCCCCUGAGCUGCACCUGACUGUUGGCUUUCAUCCAUGGAGCUCAAAUCAUUCUGUCAUGUGAUUCAUUGUUGUUUCCUGGGUUGUAAGUUUCAUUUUUGCCAUUGAUAUCUGUUACAGUGUGAUGCCAUCUUUGUAGAACCGGUUUUCCUCCAUUAAUCUUCUAAAGGGGCGUGGCGGUUUAGAUUCUUCAUGCAAUAUGGCACCUUUCCUGGAAAUUAUCUCAUUCCACAACUUCCUUCAGUUAAAUAAUAAAUAUUAAAUAAUUCUACCUUUGAUCUGUUUUUCCAGCCCUUCUCUAAAUCUGGCAACGUAAAUUCUACCUACAUGCCUUUGAAUACUAUGAUACCAGCUACCAGAUUCAAUGGUGACAUCACUAGAAUAAGAGAAUAUGUUCCAGAGUGUUAGCCUGGUAAACCAGCGCCACCUGCUGGACGCUGAAAAUUUUUCAGCUGCGGGUGGGUCUGGUAUCGAACAACUAUUCAUUUUGAAUCUUGCCCUGAAUCUGGCAAGAUGGCAACUAAACCAAUCACAACGCAGAGAUGUGUUUUGAAUCAACGCGGGCGGGGCAGAGGGUUCUGGGGCGGGGUUUUGAGGGAGUGACGACAUAGCAGUGAGACGCUGGGCGCUGGAGAAAGCACAACAUGGCGGCGGCAAUGGAACAGCGCUCGUUUGAUUCUGCAUUGGCAUCAGUUUUGGAAAGACUUGGGGUUUUCGUUAAAACGUGAGCAAGAGGAGGCUCUACGUUCAUUCAUUUUUAAGAAGGCCGUUUUCGCCGUGUUACCGACAGGCUAUGGCAAAAGUGAUGGGGCUCUUUGAAAACCCGAUGGUAGUACCGGUAGUCGUCUCGCCCUUGUUAGCCCUAAUGGUAGACCAGGCGAAGGAGGCGAGCAAUUUUGGACUCACUGCCAUGCAACUGGGCGUCGAUAACCCAGCAAACAUAAAAAUGUGUCGUCAGUGCCAGUUGGUCUUCGGAGCAUGGCUUUUGCUGAACGCGACGUGUUGUCUUCCAAGACAAGGUCCUCGGAGUGGACGAGGUUCACCUCAUAUAAUGGUAAGUGGCAUGCUCUUAACAACGUCAGGGUGUGUGUAAAGUAUAUUCCUAAAAGAUGACGGUAAUGAUUUGGUAAACGCUUCACCCUGUUGCCAUUAUAACAGAUGGACUGUCGCCCCGGACGUCUCCCUUUUUAAUCUCAGUUUACAGUCUUAAAUGUUGACUAUCUAAACAAAGUAUGUGGCCGCAAGAUUGAAGUUUACAUGGACGUUGUGUGAGAUGAACGUGGGGCUGAUUGACUGGGGAUGACAGAUAAACGGCUGUGUACGGCGGCUGGAGGUUAAAUGUUACACUUUGGAAAUUAGUACAGUGCACUUCGACGAGACCAGCAUCGCGUCGCACUAAAAUAACAUCGAUGUUAUGGAGCUAAUAGUGCCAUACCGGUGGAGUGAUCUACACUAGAAUCACACUGAUACCGUGUAUUCAGACAGUUAAUACACCGAGUAAACCAACGAAAACACUUCUGAGACUCAUUCUUGUGCGUGAUUGUAUUCUCAAACACUUCAGUGCGGUGAGCAUUCCGAGAAACCAUCCCCAGUCAAUCGAGCCCCACGAUGAUCUCUCACAACGCACUUGCUCAAUUAUGUUGAAUUAAUUGUUCCGUUGAUGUGGAAAUAACACUAAGAAGCUAGUUUAUAUGGACUUUGAAUUGCUUUGUGAUUGAAGAAUAACGUACUGAUUUUCCACAGGGGGAAACGUGACAAAGGGAAGGCCUUCAGGUAUUUUUUUGGCAAGCUAGGAGAACACAUCUGACAGACAAAAAGGUUUCAUCAAAGACACACAGACGGCUCCUGAAGUAAAGGACCUACACAGGACCUUCAUAUCAAGGACAUUGACUGUGUGGAUCUCGAGGUGCAGUUACCCAAAAGUUGCUACCCACGGAAUACCAGGUUUUGAGGGAUCCUGCCAGAGCAGAGAAUCAACAGAUACAUUGAAGAGGAGACUCCAACAUGACCGCCGGCAUCUUGUGUUAUUCACCCCCACCACUUGUAAUACUGAAUGCCUGAAUUGUUGUUUGCUGCUCAGACUUUGUCAACAGAUAUGGUCUUCGACAUGUUACCCUUAGGUGUGGAAACAGAUUGUGACAGUCCAGCAAAAUGAGCCAGACAGAUAGUAACACUGAAAAAGGACAACGUUGUUCCCAUGGCCUCCCACUGCAGAAGACUACAGACGCUCAGUAAAGUACAAACAACUGUUCCUCUUGUACUUAAUAAUUUAGUCAGCUGGAUUCUAGGUGCCACUAAGGAGCCAACAGUGGAUAAUUUUGUCAACAUUUCAAUGGCAUACAUUAAAAGGGCAGCCUGUAAUUGUUUGCCUUGCCUCCAUCUUCCUUGCCACCAAGGGGUUGUAGACCGAUGCCCUAGUCCUCCUGUUUAGGUACAACCAUGGAGUUAGGCCAGUCUAUUGAAGCAUAUACUUAUGACUGUUUGUAUGUGUUGUGUAUCUAGUAAUGGAUAAAUUACCACAUGAAUAACUGCAUAUUCAUUAUAUUGAUAAUUAUAAUGGCUUCCAUUAUUGAUUAAAAAAGGGAUCUACCACCACUUGCAUUAUUGUUUUGUUAUAAAUGAAGCACUGUUAGGAAUCCAGGAAGACGGAUGCCGAGGCACUCAAGGUUGCAUUUUUUUUUUUCCUUUUUUAUUUGGCUACAAUGCCUCAGCAUCUGUCUUCCUGGACCAAGUUUGACAGCCCCUACACUGAUGAGCACCAAGGAAAAAAGGUGAAGACCCAGAAGCACUCCAAUUACCUGCUUGUGUUUGAUAAUGUUAGGAUCCAUUUAUCCCACUUUAAAUGCAUGAAUGAAUAUCACUGAAAAUUGGAAUUGUUUCCAUUAAUUUUUUAUUUUUUUUAAAUGUAUAUAUCAUGAAAGGUAACUUGCAUUGCCUUUUGAAGCACAGUUUAACAGUUGGACCACAUUGUAUAGCCUAUAUGAACGAUCAUUAUUGAUGAUCUUGGAUAUUAUUGAUAUUGUAGGCCUAUUUCUAUUUGGGCUAAUGUCUUUGCCUUUGGCACCCUCAUGCAUUAUUGUUCUUCAAGAUAGAAAUUAAUCACGGUCAUUCUUAACUGUUAAGAAUCAAUCUGUCUUCCUUAGAGAGAUAUAUAUUUUAAAAACCUUAUUUUAGUACAA
Molecule: long non-coding RNA, 3821 nt
Organism: Engraulis encrasicolus (European anchovy)
Lineage: Eukaryota; Metazoa; Chordata; Actinopteri; Clupeiformes; Engraulidae
Exons: 3
Source: RefSeq, a predicted model, not a curated record